Salmo salar (Atlantic salmon) is the source of this 72-nucleotide non-coding RNA. The record is from Rfam. Lineage: Eukaryota; Metazoa; Chordata; Actinopteri; Salmoniformes; Salmonidae.
UCCCAUGUAGCUCAGUUGGUAGAGCAUGGUGUUUGCAACGCCAGGGUUGUGGGUUCGAUUCCCACGGGGGAC